This 551-nucleotide ribosomal RNA is filed under the name uncultured Anaplasma sp. Its description in RNAcentral is "bacterial SSU rRNA". It matches the Rfam family "Bacterial small subunit ribosomal RNA", at positions 72 to 655 of the family's 1533-position model. Lineage: Bacteria; Pseudomonadati; Pseudomonadota; Alphaproteobacteria; Rickettsiales; Anaplasmataceae. The record is from RNAcentral.
CUCGUAGCUUGCUAUGAGAACGGUUAGUGGCAGACGGGUGAGUAAUGCAUAGGAAUCUACCUAGUAGUAUGGGAUAGCCACUAGAAAUGGUGGGUAAUACUGUAUAAUCCCUGCGGGGGAAAGAUUUAUCGCUAUUAGAUGAGCCUAUGUUAGAUUAGCUAGUUGGUAGGGUAAAGGCCUACCAAGGCAGUGAUCUAUAGCUGGUCUGAGAGGAUGAUCAGCCACACUGGAACUGAGAUACGGUCCAGACUCCUACGGGAGGCAGCAGUGGGGAAUAUUGGACAAUGGGCGCAAGCCUGAUCCAGCUAUGCCGCGUGAGUGAGGAAGGCCUUAGGGUUGUAAAACUCUUUCAGUGGGGAAGAUAAUGACGGUACCCACAGAAGAAGUCCCGGCAAACUCCGUGCCAGCAGCCGCGGUAAUACGGAGGGGGCAAGCGUUGUUCGGAAUUAUUGGGCGUAAAGGGCAUGUAGGCGGUUCGGUAAGUUAAAGGUGAAAUGCCAGGGCUUAACCCUGGAGCUGCUUUUAAUACUGCCAGACUGGAGUCCGGGAGA